Molecule: ribosomal RNA, 1554 nt
Filed under: Kluyvera georgiana
Lineage: Bacteria; Pseudomonadati; Pseudomonadota; Gammaproteobacteria; Enterobacterales; Enterobacteriaceae
Description: bacterial SSU rRNA
Rfam family: Bacterial small subunit ribosomal RNA
Source: RNAcentral
ACUUAAAUUGAAGAGUUUGAUCAUGGCUCAGAUUGAACGCUGGCGGCAGGCCUAACACAUGCAAGUCGAACGGUAGCACAGAGAGCUUGCUCUCGGGUGACGAGUGGCGGACGGGUGAGUAAUGUCUGGGAAACUGCCCGAUGGAGGGGAUAACUACUGGAAACGGUAGCUAAUACCGCAUAACGUCGCAAGACCAAAGUGGGGGACCUUCGGGCCUCACACCAUCGGAUGUGCCCAGAUGGGAUUAGCUAGUAGGUGGGGUAACGGCUCACCUAGGCGACGAUCCCUAGCUGGUCUGAGAGGAUGACCAGCCACACUGGAACUGAGACACGGUCCAGACUCCUACGGGAGGCAGCAGUGGGGAAUAUUGCACAAUGGGCGCAAGCCUGAUGCAGCCAUGCCGCGUGUAUGAAGAAGGCCUUCGGGUUGUAAAGUACUUUCAGCGAGGAGGAAGGCGUUGUGGUUAAUAACCGCAGCGAUUGACGUUACUCGCAGAAGAAGCACCGGCUAACUCCGUGCCAGCAGCCGCGGUAAUACGGAGGGUGCAAGCGUUAAUCGGAAUUACUGGGCGUAAAGCGCACGCAGGCGGUUUGUUAAGUCAGAUGUGAAAUCCCCGGGCUCAACCUGGGAACUGCAUUUGAAACUGGCAAGCUUGAGUCUCGUAGAGGGGGUAGAAUUCCAGGUGUAGCGGUGAAAUGCGUAGAGAUCUGGAGGAAUACCGGUGGCGAAGGCGGCCCCCUGGACGAAGACUGACGCUCAGGUGCGAAAGCGUGGGGAGCAAACAGGAUUAGAUACCCUGGUAGUCCACGCCGUAAACGAUGUCUAUUUGGAGGUUGUGCCCUUGAGGCGUGGCUUCCGGAGCUAACGCGUUAAAUAGACCGCCUGGGGAGUACGGCCGCAAGGUUAAAACUCAAAUGAAUUGACGGGGGCCCGCACAAGCGGUGGAGCAUGUGGUUUAAUUCGAUGCAACGCGAAGAACCUUACCUACUCUUGACAUCCAGAGAACUUAGCAGAGAUGCUUUGGUGCCUUCGGGAACUCUGAGACAGGUGCUGCAUGGCUGUCGUCAGCUCGUGUUGUGAAAUGUUGGGUUAAGUCCCGCAACGAGCGCAACCCUUAUCCUUUGUUGCCAGCGGUUCGGCCGGGAACUCAAAGGAGACUGCCAGUGAUAAACUGGAGGAAGGUGGGGAUGACGUCAAGUCAUCAUGGCCCUUACGAGUAGGGCUACACACGUGCUACAAUGGCAUAUACAAAGAGAAGCGACCUCGCGAGAGCAAGCGGACCUCAUAAAGUAUGUCGUAGUCCGGAUUGGAGUCUGCAACUCGACUCCAUGAAGUCGGAAUCGCUAGUAAUCGUAGAUCAGAAUGCUACGGUGAAUACGUUCCCGGGCCUUGUACACACCGCCCGUCACACCAUGGGAGUGGGUUGCAAAAGAAGUAGGUAGCUUAACCUUCGGGAGGGCGCUUACCACUUUGUGAUUCAUGACUGGGGUGAAGUCGUAACAAGGUAACCGUAGGGGAACCUGCGGUUGGAUCACCUCCUUACCUUAAAGAAGC